RNAcentral lists this long non-coding RNA (568 nucleotides) under Anas platyrhynchos platyrhynchos (common mallard). Its description in RNAcentral is "lncRNA (ENSAPLG00000029837.1)". Lineage: Eukaryota; Metazoa; Chordata; Aves; Anseriformes; Anatidae. The record is from RNAcentral.
CGGCUCGGCAACAGGGGCUGCUCGCAGGCAGCCCGGCGGAUGGGGCAGCGGCACCGCCCGGGCGUUAUAUAGUGCUGAAGGCACGCCGCGCCCGGAGCCCAUUGGACUCGGAGCAGCCGGGGGCCGGCCGGGGGUUGCUGCCACCGCCCUACACAGCAGAGCUCAGCCCACCCGGCAGCCCUAAAGCAGCACCAAAAGGACUGGGGUUCGGCCGGCUGGGGGCUGCCUGCCCCGAGGAGGGGUGUGGGGACGAGAGGAUAAAGGGUUGGGAGGCGGUCGUGGCGCUUUGUGGGGCUUUCGGUGGGGUUUUGCGAAACGGCUUAGCAAAAUGGCUCUUUUUCUUCUUUUCUUUUCAGAGGGGAAAACUUUUCUUUCUUUAGAGCGACGCUGUAAGCUGAUACGCCUCGGUUCAGGAGGAAUAAUGUUCUGCACGGGGGGAGAAGCAUUGUGCUUUGCUGUGGAUGAAUUUAAUGCCAGCAAGUGGCCUGCUGCAGCUCUGCGACCAGGUGGAGGGACCAGCAUCGACGUGUACAGCAGUUCGUACUGGUCGACUGGUCUGACACAGUGA